CGAAUAGGGUGGCAAGUGGCAUGUCCUGGACCCGAAGCGGGGUGAUCUACCCAUGGCCAGUGUGAAGCAGCUGUAAGAGGUUGUGGAGGCGCGAACCCACGUAGGUUAAAAACUGCGGGGAUGAGCUGUGGGUAGGGGUGAAAGGCCAAUCAAACUGGGAGAUAGCUCGUACUCCCCGAAAUGCAUUUAGGUGCAGCGUUGCGACAAGUUUAUUAGAGGUAGAGCUACUGAUUGGAUGCGGGGGUUUCAUCGCCUACCAAUUCCUGACAAACUCCGAAUGCUAAUAAAUGUUUCGCAGCAGUGAGGGCAUGGGUGCUAAGGUCCAUGUCCGAGAGGGAAAGAACCCAGACCAACAGCUAAGGUCCCCAAAUAUAUGCUAAGUUGAAACAACGCGGUUGGACUGCAUUGACAGCUAGGAUGUUGGCUUGGAAGCAGCCAUUCAUUUAAAGAGUGCGUAACAGCUCACUAGUCGAGCGGUUCGGCAUGGAUAAUAAUCGGGCAUAAGCAUAUUACCGAAGCUAUGGAUUUGUACAAUAGUACAUCUGGUAGGGGAGCAUUCUAUUUGCGCCGAAGCAGUAUCGCGAGGUAUUGUGGAGCGGAUAGAAAAGAAAAUGUAGGCAUAAGUAACGAUAAAGGGGGCGAGAAACCCCCUCACCGAAAGACUAAGGUUUCCUCAGCCAUGCUAAUCAGCUGAGGGUUAGUCGGGGCCUAACGCGAACCCGAAAGGGGUAGUGGAUGGACAACGGGUUAAUAUUCCCGCACCUGUAU
This 768-nucleotide ribosomal RNA is filed under the name Chaetoceros curvisetus. RNAcentral describes it as "partial Bacterial large subunit ribosomal RNA". It matches the Rfam family "Bacterial large subunit ribosomal RNA", at positions 684 to 1450 of the family's 2925-position model. The record is from RNAcentral. Lineage: Eukaryota; Bacillariophyta; Thalassiosirophyceae; Chaetocerotales; Chaetocerotaceae.